CGGACGGGUGAGUAAUGCUUGGGAAUCUAGCUUAUGGAGGGGGAUAACUACGGGAAACUGUAGCUAAUACCGCGUAAUAUCGAAAGAUUAAAGUGUGGGACCUUCGGGCCACAUGCCAUAGGAUGAGCCCAAGUGGGAUUAGGUAGUUGGUGGGGUAAAGGCUCACCAAGCCGACGAUCUCUAGCUGGUCUGAGAGGAUGACCAGCCACACUGGGACUGAGACACGGCCCAG
Molecule: ribosomal RNA, 232 nt
Filed under: uncultured bacterium
Lineage: Bacteria
Description: partial 16S ribosomal RNA
Rfam family: Bacterial small subunit ribosomal RNA
Source: RNAcentral